UACGUAGGGGGCAAGCGUUGUCCGGAUUUAUUGGGCGUAAAGAGCGUGUAGGCGGCCAGGUAGGUCCGUUGUGAAAACUCGAGGCUCAACCUCGAGACGUCGGCGGAAACCCUCUGGCUAGAGUCCGGAAGAGGAGAGUGGAAUUCCUGGUGUAGCGAUGAAAUGCGCAGAUAUCGGGAGGAACACCAAUGGCGAAGGCAGCUCGCUGGGACGGUACUGACGCUGAGACGCGAAAGCGUGGGGAGCAAACAGG
This 253-nucleotide ribosomal RNA is filed under the name uncultured bacterium. RNAcentral's name for it is "partial 16S ribosomal RNA". It matches the Rfam family "Bacterial small subunit ribosomal RNA", at positions 524 to 776 of the family's 1533-position model. The record is from RNAcentral.